This 390-nucleotide ribosomal RNA is filed under the name uncultured bacterium. RNAcentral describes it as "bacterial SSU rRNA". It matches the Rfam family "Bacterial small subunit ribosomal RNA", at positions 30 to 420 of the family's 1533-position model. The record is from RNAcentral.
AUUGAACGCUGGCGGCAUGCCUUACACAUGCAAGUCGAACGGCAGCACGGGAGCAAUCCUGGUGGCGAGUGGCGAACGGGUGAGUAAAGUAUCGGAACGUACCUUUCAGUGGGGGAUAACGUAGCGAAAGUUACGCUAAUACCGCAUAUUCUGUGAGCAGGAAAGCAGGGGAUCGCAAGACCUUGCGCUGAUGGAGCGGCCGAUAUCAGAUUAGCUAGUUGGUGAGGUAAAGGCUCACCAAGGCGACGAUCUGUAGCGGGUCUGAGAGGAUGAUCCGCCACACUGGGACUGAGACACGGUCCAGACUCCUACGGGAGGCAGCAGUGGGGAAUUUUGGACAAUGGGGGCAACCCUGAUCCAGCCAUUCCGCGUGAGUGAAGAAGGCCUCGG